RNAcentral lists this ribosomal RNA (497 nucleotides) under uncultured bacterium. RNAcentral describes it as "partial 16S ribosomal RNA". It matches the Rfam family "Bacterial small subunit ribosomal RNA", at positions 28 to 507 of the family's 1533-position model. The record is from RNAcentral.
GAUGAACGCUGGCGGCGUGCCUAAUACAUGCAAGUCGAGCGAACAGACGAGGAGCUUGCUCCUCUUACGUUAGCGGCGGACGGGGGAGUAAAACGUGGAUAACCUACCUAUAAGACUGGGAUAAAUUCGGGAAACCGGAGCUAAUACCGGACAAAAUAUUGAACCGCAUGGUUCAAUAGUGAAAGACGGUUUUGCUGUCACUUAUAGAUGGAUCCGCGCCGCAUUAGCUAGUUGGUGAGGUAACGGCUUACCAAGGCAACGAUGCGUAGCCGACCUGAGAGAGUGAUCGGCCACACUGGAACGGAGACACGGUCCAGACUCCUACGGGAGGCAGCAGUAGGGAAUCUUCCGCAAUGGGCGAAAGCCUGACGGAGCAACGCCGCGUGAGUGAUGAAGGUCUUCGGAUCGUAAAACUCUGUUAUUAGGGAAGAACAAAUGUGUAAGUAACUAUGCACGUCUUGACGGUACCUAAUCAGAAAGCCACGGCUAACUACGUG